ACCAUGUGUGGUGUAGGCAUGGGCCAAUUAUUGGUUUGACAGUUUACUGUGGUUUUGGAAAGUCAAGGGUUCAAUUGCCGCUAAAAGUGUUUGUUACCGAUAAUGUGCUUUGUUUUUGUUUUUUGAGAGGACUUGUGAGCACUUAACAAUCUGCAUCUCUGAAGUUAGUAAUGAGAGGUUAGUCACUUCUGUUUGUAAUCCUCAGCUGUUGCAGAGAGGGGAGGGUUGAGCAGUUACAUUGGGAGGGAGGAAGGACAGAGGGAGAAGACAGACUCCAGCACACUUACUGAUGCUUUUUUUUUUUUUUCUCAAGUAAUGUGCAUUGUCCUUAAAAGCAGACAUUGUCCUUAAAAAUUCAGACAGACAGACAUAAAUAAAUAAAUAAAACAUGGUGUCAGCAUGUACUAGUCAGCGGCGCAAGGAAAGAUGAGUAGCCUUCCGGUCUAUUCUAAAAAUAGCUUACCAGCAAUGGGACACUGUGACUUAAGAAGAAAAAUUAAAACAUAAGAGGAAUGAAAAUCUAUACAUAUUUUUUUAACUUAACAUGAUACAUAGCAAUAAAUGUACCGUAUUU
Molecule: long non-coding RNA, 574 nt
Organism: Hippocampus zosterae (dwarf seahorse)
Lineage: Eukaryota; Metazoa; Chordata; Actinopteri; Syngnathiformes; Syngnathidae
Exons: 2
Source: RefSeq, a predicted model, not a curated record